This 538-nucleotide ribosomal RNA is filed under the name uncultured bacterium. RNAcentral's name for it is "bacterial SSU rRNA". It matches the Rfam family "Bacterial small subunit ribosomal RNA", at positions 777 to 1320 of the family's 1533-position model. The record is from RNAcentral.
AAUAGAUACCCUGGUAGUCCACGCCCUAAACGAUGUCUACUAGUUGUUGGGUCUUAAUUGACUUAGUAACGCAGCUAACGCGUGAAGUAGACCGCCUGGGGAGUACGGUCGCAAGAUUAAAACUCAAAGGAAUUGACGGGGACCCGCACAAGCGGUGGAUGAUGUGGAUUAAUUCGAUGCAACGCGAAAAACCUUACCUACCCUUGACAUGUCAGGAACCUCCGAGAGAUUGGAGGGUGCCCGAAAGGGAACCUGAACACAGGUGCUGCAUGGCUGUCGUCAGCUCGUGUCGUGAGAUGUUGGGUUAAGUCCCGCAACGAGCGCAACCCUUGUCAUUAGUUGCUACGAAAGGGCACUCUAAUGAGACUGCCGGUGACAAACCGGAGGAAGGUGGGGAUGACGUCAAGUCCUCAUGGCCCUUAUGGGUAGGGCUUCACACGUCAUACAAUGGUACAUACAGAGGGCCGCCAACCCGCGAGGGGGAGCUAAUCCCAGAAAGUGUAUCGUAGUCCGGAUUGUAGUCUGCAACUCGACUACA